CCCCCCAAACCGAAGCCUCCAUUAAGCACAAUCCCGUCCGUUACCGGCAGCGGCAAGCCUCCACCGAGUCCAUCCUCGUCCAUCACCGGGAAGCCUCCACCGAGUCCAACCUCGACCAUCACCGACAGGAACAAGAAGAUUGGCAUGUCGACACCUCCAACAGAAAGUGGUGGCCAAGCUGUAGUUGCAUACUCGGGGACUGGAAGUGUACCGCAAAAUGAUCACAUGGAAGAGGAAGAGGAUGACUUCGACGAGUUGGUUGAUUAUCAUGAGUUUGCAAAUCCUAUUUUUGUUUCUGAUGAGGAGGAAGAUGGGGCUGGAGGGGAUGAAGCGGGAAAAGAUGGGGAUGAAGAAGAGGAGGAGAAUGUGGAAGUUGCUUCCAAAAGAAAACUUACCUCGACUGUGUGGGCAGAGUUCAAGAGAGUGAAGGUUGCGGGAAAAUGGAAGGCAAAGUGUGUUUAUUGCAAUAAGGAGCUUCGAGGAGAACCAAAGAAUGGGACCAAGCAUCUUCAUUACCACUUAGGUAUUUGUGUUCUGAAAAAAGAUCAAGAUCAA
RNAcentral lists this ribosomal RNA (555 nucleotides) under Triticum aestivum (bread wheat). RNAcentral's name for it is "partial small subunit ribosomal RNA". The record is from RNAcentral. Lineage: Eukaryota; Viridiplantae; Streptophyta; Magnoliopsida; Poales; Poaceae.